GACCUCAGAUCAGGCGAGAUUACCCGCUGAAUUUAAGCAUAUUAAUAAGCGGAGGAAAAGAAAACUAACA
RNAcentral lists this ribosomal RNA (70 nucleotides) under Bunodosoma granuliferum. RNAcentral describes it as "partial 28S ribosomal RNA". It matches the Rfam family "Eukaryotic large subunit ribosomal RNA", at positions 1 to 70 of the family's 3401-position model. RNAcentral also lists the same sequence under 4 other names. Lineage: Eukaryota; Metazoa; Cnidaria; Anthozoa; Actiniaria; Actiniidae. The record is from RNAcentral.